AACGGUAUGCAAACUUUAAUAAAUAAAUCUAUUGUUUUCUGCAUAUCAGAUAAACAAACCUUGAAAAGUUGGCCUCCAGUGUGAGCAUCUACUGCGCUGAAAGGAUCAUCAAAGAGGAGGUAUUGUGCUACUCGAUCAACUGAAACUUUUCCCUGAGCAAACACCGAAAGUAAAUCGGGAAUUGUGAAUAUUGGAUCUUGUAACAUCCGGAA
Lolium perenne is the source of this 212-nucleotide non-coding RNA. The record is from RefSeq and is a predicted model, not a curated record. NCBI's taxonomy places the organism in Eukaryota, Viridiplantae, Streptophyta, Magnoliopsida, Poales, Poaceae.